GUCUAGAAAUAUUAAAACACAUUUAUUUCAACUUUUAUACAAACUUUGUAUUUAUCUGAUCAUUGAAGUAAGUAAACUUUUCACUGAAUUUGUGUAGAACUUACAUCUGAAAAUAGUAGUGCCAAAUUAUAUUUGAAUCUGAUUCAAAAUCAGAAAGUCUAUGCAAAAUAUUAAUUUGUAUGGAAAGUAAUAUUUCAUUCACUAUGCUCUAAUCAAUAAAGGACUUUCUGAAUUAUAUACUUAUGAUCAAUAAGCUAACAGAAAUCAAAUUUCUUCUGCCUACUUUCAGGAGCGUUAACCCAAACACCAUACACCAAACACUAACCUAAAUCUAUAGCUAGCUGUUUUCUAAGAUAUUCCCGGCGAUCAUUAAAGGUCAAGUAUAUUUGCCACGUUGGCAAGAGAUGACGUCAGCAUCGACUGUGUUGGCCUUGCGGAAUCAAAUCGAAUGACUGAUUACAUUGUAUUAUUAGUGAGACAACGUUUAGAUGUUAUUAAAUAUAUCAUAUAAAUUUAUUGAAACACAAAUAAUGCGAAAAUUACAGUGCUGUGAAAUAAGGGAUACUACAUGAUGUAAUUGUAAUUUUAAGUAAUUUAUAUGCAUAUAUAUAUUUAUAAUUUAUAAUUGGU
Drosophila mojavensis is the source of this 630-nucleotide long non-coding RNA. RefSeq lists it as uncharacterized. The record is from RefSeq and is a predicted model, not a curated record. The transcript has 2 exons. NCBI's taxonomy places the organism in Eukaryota, Metazoa, Arthropoda, Insecta, Diptera, Drosophilidae.